GCCAAAAUGAGCUCAAUGUCCUGAAUCAAUAUGGCAGUGGAUUUUGACAACAUUUUAAACUUUAGGCUAGGCAUGGCCAACUUAAGUUCAAUUGACACUGAAUUGUUAAUUCCAUCGUUCAUAGGAGAAUUCAAUCAUUUGGACUCAAGCACGCUACAAUCAGACACCAUACAUAAGGAAUUGCAAUAUAACAGUAAUUAGAAUUUGGAUCGUUGAUGGAACUGCAGAGUGAUUUACCUAUGCCUAUUGCAGUGAAAUAUGCCAAAUCAAAUCAGAAAAGUAGAAUAUUCUGGAUCACUUUUUUGUUGAUGGAAAGUGGAGCUUCAAGGCGCAUUCACAUCACACAUAAAUCAAUAUUUAAAAUGCACUACCAAUGCUUGGUUGGGUUCCCAAAAUCCUGGGUGUUCUCAAAGUUGGCUAAGUUUGUUUUUCUUUGGAU
Molecule: unclassified non-coding RNA, 439 nt
Filed under: Hevea brasiliensis (rubber tree)
Lineage: Eukaryota; Viridiplantae; Streptophyta; Magnoliopsida; Malpighiales; Euphorbiaceae
Source: RNAcentral